GACGAACGCUGGCGGCGUGCUUAACACAUGCAAGUCGAACGAAGUGGCGAACGGGUGAGUAACGCGUAAUCAACCUGCCCUUCAGAGGGGGUUAACAGUUGGAAACGACUGCUAAUACCGCAUACUGAAGAGGGGGAUUGCGUCUGAUUAGCUCGUUGGGGGGGGAACGGCCCACCAAGGGGAUGAUCAGUAGCCGGUCUGAGAGGAUGAACGGCCAAAUUGGGACUGGGACACGGGCCCGAACCCUACGGGAGGCAGCAGUGGGGAAUUUUCCGAAAUGGAGGAAAGUCUGACGGAGCAACGCCGCGUGAGUGAUGACGGCCUUCGGGGUGUAAAGCUCUGUUAAUCGGGACGCGGUACCGGAAGAGAAAGCCACGGCUAACUACGUGCCAGCAGCCGCGGUAAUAC
This 408-nucleotide ribosomal RNA is filed under the name uncultured bacterium. RNAcentral describes it as "partial 16S ribosomal RNA". It matches the Rfam family "Bacterial small subunit ribosomal RNA", at positions 28 to 526 of the family's 1533-position model. The record is from RNAcentral.